GCCCGGGUGGUGGAAUCGGUAGACACACAGGACUUAAAAUCCUGAGCUUCCAGCAAUGGGGCGUGACGGUUCGAAUCCGUCCCCGGGCA
This 89-nucleotide transfer RNA is filed under the name Deltaproteobacteria bacterium. Its description in RNAcentral is "tRNA-Leu". It matches the Rfam family "tRNA". Rfam says of the family: Transfer RNA (tRNA) molecules are approximately 80 nucleotides in length. Their secondary structure includes four short double-helical elements and three loops (D, anti-codon, and T loops). Lineage: Bacteria; Pseudomonadati; Myxococcota; Myxococcia. The record is from RNAcentral.